CCUACGGGAGGCAGCAGUGAGGAAUAUUGGUCAAUGGCCGUAAGGCUGAACCAGCCAAGUAGCGUGAGGGAAGAAUGCCCUAUGGGUUGUAAACCUCUUUUAUGCGGGGAUAAAGGUGUCCACGUGUGGAUGUUUGCAGGUACCGCAUGAAUAAGGACCGGCUAAUUCCGUGCCAGCAGCCGGGGUAAUACGGAAGGUCCGGGCGGUAUCCGGAUGUAUUGGGGUUAAAGGGAGCGUAGGCCGGUCUUUAAGCGUGCCGUGAGAUUUUGUGGCUCAACCAUGGGAGGGCGGCGCGAACUGGAGACCUUGAGUGCGCGGAAGGCAGGCGGAAUUCGUGGUGUAGCGGUGAAAUGCUUAGAUAUCACGAAGAACCCCGAUUGCGAAGGCAGCCUGCCGCAGCGUUACUGACGCUGAAGCUCGAAAGCGCGGGUAUCGAACAGGAUUAGAUACCCCAGUAGUC
Molecule: ribosomal RNA, 460 nt
Filed under: uncultured bacterium
Lineage: Bacteria
Description: partial 16S ribosomal RNA
Rfam family: Bacterial small subunit ribosomal RNA
Source: RNAcentral